UACGUAGGGUGCGAGCGUUGUCCGGAAUUAUUGGGCGUAAAGGGCUCGUAGGCGGUUUGUCGCGUCGGGAGUGAAAACACUGGGCUUAACCGAGUGCUUGCUUUCGAUACGGGCAGACUUGAGGCAUUCAGGGGAGAACGGAAUUCCUGGUGUAGCGGUGAAAUGCGCAGAUAUCAGGAGGAACACCGGUGGCGAAGGCAGUUCUCUGGGAAUGUUCUGACGCUGAGGAGCGAAAGUGUGGGGAGCGAACAGG
This 253-nucleotide ribosomal RNA is filed under the name uncultured bacterium. RNAcentral's name for it is "partial 16S ribosomal RNA". It matches the Rfam family "Bacterial small subunit ribosomal RNA", at positions 524 to 776 of the family's 1533-position model. The record is from RNAcentral.